This 251-nucleotide ribosomal RNA is filed under the name uncultured prokaryote. RNAcentral's name for it is "partial 16S rRNA". It matches the Rfam family "Bacterial small subunit ribosomal RNA", at positions 525 to 775 of the family's 1533-position model. The record is from RNAcentral.
ACGGAGGGUGCAAGCGUUAUUCGGAAUUACUGGGCGUAAAGCGCGUGCAGGCGGGGAGGCAAGUCUGAUGUGAAAGCCCCGGGCUUAAACCCGGAAGGGCAUUGGAAACUGCUUUUCUUGAGUGCUGGAGAGGAAGGGGGAAUUCCCGGUGUAGAGGUGAAAUUCGUAGAGAUCGGGAGGAACAGCAGUGGCGAAGGCGCCCUUCUGGACAGCAACUGACGCUGAGACGCGAAAGCGUGGGGAGCAAACAG